CCUACGGGGGGCAGCAGUGGGGAAUAUUGCGCAAUGGGGGGAACCCUGACGCAGCCAUGCCGCGUGAAUGAAGAAGGCCUUCGGGUUGUACAGUUCUUUCGGUAUUGAGGAAGGGAUGUGUGUUAAUAACAUACAUUAUUGACGUUAAAUACAGAAGAAGCACCGGCUAACUCCGUGCCAGCAGCCGCGGUAAUACGGAGGGUGCGAGCGUUAAUCGGAAUAACUGGGCGUAAAGGGCACGCAGGCGGUUAUUUAAGUGAGGUGUGAAAGCCCCGGGCUUAACCUGGGAAUUUCAUUUCAGACUGGGGAACUAGAGUACUUUAGGGAGGGGUAGAAUUCCACGUGGUGCUGUGAAAUGUGUAGAGAGGUGGAGGAAUACCGAAGGCGAGGGCAGCCCCUUGGGAAUGUACUGACGCUCAUGUGCGAAAGCGUGGGGAGCAAACAGGAGUAGAUACCCCUGUAGUC
This 465-nucleotide ribosomal RNA is filed under the name uncultured Haemophilus sp. Its description in RNAcentral is "bacterial SSU rRNA". It matches the Rfam family "Bacterial small subunit ribosomal RNA", at positions 338 to 795 of the family's 1533-position model. Lineage: Bacteria; Pseudomonadati; Pseudomonadota; Gammaproteobacteria; Pasteurellales; Pasteurellaceae. The record is from RNAcentral.